RNAcentral lists this ribosomal RNA (492 nucleotides) under uncultured bacterium. Its description in RNAcentral is "partial 16S ribosomal RNA". It matches the Rfam family "Bacterial small subunit ribosomal RNA", at positions 29 to 507 of the family's 1533-position model. The record is from RNAcentral.
AGUGAACGCUGGCGGUAGGCCUAACACAUGCAAGUCGAACGGCAGCACAGUAAGAGCUUGCUCUUACGGGUGGCGAGUGGCGGACGGGUGAGGAAUACAUCGGAAUCUACUUUUUCGUGGGGGAUAACGUAGGGAAACUUACGCUAAUACAGCAUACGACCUACGGGUGAAAGCAGGGGAUCUUCGGACCUUGCGCGAUUGAAUGAGCCGAUGUCGGAUUAGCUAGUUGGCGGGCUAAAGGCCCACCAAGGCGACGAUCCGUAGCUGGUCUGAGAGGAUGAUCGGCCACACGGGAACUGAGACACGGUCCAGACUCCUACGGGAGGCAGCAGUGGGGAAUAUUGGACAAUGGGCGCAAGCCUGAUCCAGCCAUACCGCGUGGGUGAAGAAGGCCUUCGGGUUGUAAAGCCCUUUUGUUGGGAAAGAAAAGCAGCAGGUUAAUACCCCGCUGUUCUGACGGUACCCAAAGAAUAAGCACCGGCUAACUUCGUG